RNAcentral lists this ribosomal RNA (334 nucleotides) under uncultured eukaryote. Its description in RNAcentral is "partial 18S ribosomal RNA". It matches the Rfam family "Eukaryotic small subunit ribosomal RNA", at positions 1470 to 1796 of the family's 1831-position model. The record is from RNAcentral.
CCCUUAGAUGUCCGGGGCCGCACGCGCGCUACACUGAAGGAAUCAGCGUGGCUUUCUCCCUGACCCGAAAGGGUUGGGAAACCCGUUGAAUCUCCUUCGUGAUAGGGAUUGGGGCUUGAAAUUGUUCCCCAUGAACGAGGAAUUCCUAGUAAGCGCAAGUCAUCAACUUGCGUUGAUUACGUCCCUGCCCUUUGUACACACCGCCCGUCGCUACUGCCAACUGAGAUGGGUCCUGAAUUGUUAGGAACGCCCGUCAAGGGGCCUACCCGGUCCCUAGUGCGGUGACGAGAAUAACUGUAAAUGGCAUAUCUUGUAGGGAGUAAAAGUCGUAACA